Molecule: ribosomal RNA, 912 nt
Filed under: Bacillus sp. DCR_SP45
Lineage: Bacteria; Bacillati; Bacillota; Bacilli; Caryophanales; Bacillaceae
Description: bacterial SSU rRNA
Rfam family: Bacterial small subunit ribosomal RNA
Source: RNAcentral
GGAAGAACAAGUACCGGAGUAACUGCCGGUACCUUGACGGUACCUGACCAGAAAGCCACGGCUAACUACGUGCCAGCAGCCGCGGUAAUACGUAGGUGGCAAGCGUUGUCCGGAAUUAUUGGGCGUAAAGCGCGCGCAGGCGGUUCCUUAAGUCUGAUGUGAAAGCCCCCGGCUCAACCGGGGAGGGUCAUUGGAAACUGGGGAACUUGAGUGCAGAAGAGGAGAGCGGAAUUCCACGUGUAGCGGUGAAAUGCGUAGAGAUGUGGAGGAACACCAGUGGCGAAGGCGGCUCUCUGGUCUGUAACUGACGCUGAGGCGCGAAAGCGUGGGGAGCGAACAGGAUUAGAUACCCUGGUAGUCCACGCCGUAAACGAUGAGUGCUAAGUGUUAGAGGGUUUCCGCCCUUUAGUGCUGCAGCAAACGCAUUAAGCACUCCGCCUGGGGAGUACGGCCGCAAGGCUGAAACUCAAAGGAAUUGACGGGGGCCCGCACAAGCGGUGGAGCAUGUGGUUUAAUUCGAAGCAACGCGAAGAACCUUACCAGGUCUUGACAUCCUCUGACAACCCUAGAGAUAGGGCGUUCCCCUUCGGGGGACAGAGUGACAGGUGGUGCAUGGUUGUCGUCAGCUCGUGUCGUGAGAUGUUGGGUUAAGUCCCGCAACGAGCGCAACCCUUGAUCUUAGUUGCCAGCAUUCAGUUGGGCACUCUAAGGUGACUGCCGGUGACAAACCGGAGGAAGGUGGGGAUGACGUCAAAUCAUCAUGCCCCUUAUGACCUGGGCUACACACGUGCUACAAUGGAUGGAACAAAGGGUCGCGAAGCCGCGAGGUCGAGCCAAUCCCAUAAAUCCAUUCUCAGUUCGGAUUGCAGGCUGCAACUCGCCUGCAUGAAGCCGGAAUCGCUAGUAAUCGCG